RNAcentral lists this ribosomal RNA (500 nucleotides) under uncultured bacterium. RNAcentral's name for it is "partial 16S ribosomal RNA". It matches the Rfam family "Bacterial small subunit ribosomal RNA", at positions 30 to 523 of the family's 1533-position model. The record is from RNAcentral.
AUUGAACGCUGGCGGCAUGCCUUACACAUGCAAGUCGAACGGCAGCACGGGAGCAAUUCUGGUGGCGAGUGGCGAACGGGUGAGUAAAGUAUCGGAACGUGCCCAGUCGUGGGGGAUAACGUAGCGAAAGUUACGCUAAUACCGCAUACGAUCUAUGGAUGAAAGCGGGGGAUCGCAAGACCUCGCGCGAUUGGAGCGGCCGAUAUAAGAUUAGGUAGUUGGUGGGGUAAAGGCUCACCAAGCCGACGAUCUGUAGCUGGUCUGAGAGGACGGCCAGCCACACUGGGACUGAGACACGGCCCAGACUCCUACGGGAGGCAGCAGUGGGGAAUUUUGGACAAUGGGCGAAAGCCUGAUCCAGCCAUGCCGCGUGCAGGAUGAAGGCCUUCGGGUUGUAAACUGCUUUUGUACGGAACGAAAAGGUUUGGCCUAAUAAGCUGAGCUCAUGACGGUACCGUAAGAAUAAGCACCGGCUAACUACGUGCCAGCAGCCGCGGUAA